RNAcentral lists this ribosomal RNA (253 nucleotides) under uncultured bacterium. Its description in RNAcentral is "partial 16S ribosomal RNA". It matches the Rfam family "Bacterial small subunit ribosomal RNA", at positions 524 to 776 of the family's 1533-position model. The record is from RNAcentral.
UACGUAGGGGGCAAGCGUUAUCCGGAUUUACUGGGUGUAAAGGGGGCGCAGACGGCGAUGCAAGCCAGGAGUGAAAGCCCGGGGCCCAACCCCGGGACUGCUCUUGGAACUGCGUGGCUGGAGUGCAGGAGGGGCAGGCGGAAUUCCUGGUGUAGCGGUGAAAUGCGUAGAUAUCAGGAGGAACACCGGUGGCGAAGGCGGCCUGCUGGUCUGCAACUGACGUUGAGGCCCGAAAGCGUGGGGAGCAAACAGG